This 429-nucleotide ribosomal RNA is filed under the name Actinomycetes bacterium. RNAcentral describes it as "Actinobacteria bacterium partial 16S ribosomal RNA". It matches the Rfam family "Bacterial small subunit ribosomal RNA", at positions 355 to 776 of the family's 1533-position model. The record is from RNAcentral. Lineage: Bacteria; Bacillati; Actinomycetota; Actinomycetes.
UAGGGAAUCUUCCGCAAUGGGCGAAAGCCUGACGGAGCAACGCCGCGUGAGUGAUGAAGGUCUUCGGAUCGUAAAACUCUGUUAUUAGGGAAGAACAAAUGUGUAAGUAACUAUGCACGUCUUGACGGUACCUAAUCAGAAAGCCACGGCUAACUACGUGCCAGCAGCCGCGGUAAUACGUAGGUGGCAAGCGUUAUCCGGAAUUAUUGGGCGUAAAGCGCGCGUAGGCGGUUUUUUAAGUCUGAUGUGAAAGCCCACGGCUCAACCGUGGAGGGUCAUUGGAAACUGGAAAACUUGAGUGCAGAAGAGGAAAGUGGAAUUCCAUGUGUAGCGGUGAAAUGCGCAGAGAUAUGAAGGAACACCAGUGGCGAAGGCGACUUUCUGGUCUGUAACUGACGCUGAUGUGCGAAAGCGUGGGGAUCAAACAGG